Molecule: transfer RNA, 89 nt
Filed under: Buchnera aphidicola (Uroleucon sonchi)
Lineage: Bacteria; Pseudomonadati; Pseudomonadota; Gammaproteobacteria; Enterobacterales; Erwiniaceae
Also listed under: 1 other name
Description: tRNA-Ser
Rfam family: tRNA
About the family: Transfer RNA (tRNA) molecules are approximately 80 nucleotides in length. Their secondary structure includes four short double-helical elements and three loops (D, anti-codon, and T loops). Further hydrogen bonds mediate the characteristic L-shaped molecular structure. tRNAs have two regions of fundamental functional importance: the anti-codon, which is responsible for specific mRNA codon recognition, and the 3' end, to which the tRNAs corresponding amino acid is attached (by aminoacyl-tRNA synthetases). tRNAs cope with the degeneracy of the genetic code in two manners: having more than one tRNA (with a specific anti-codon) for a particular amino acid; and 'wobble' base-pairing, i.e. permitting non-standard base-pairing at the 3rd anti-codon position.
Source: RNAcentral
GGUGAGAUGGCCGAGAGGAUGAAGGCGCUCCCCUGCUAAGGGAGUAUGUAGAAAUUUCUGCAUCGAGGGUUCGAAUCCCUCUCUCACCG